Molecule: long non-coding RNA, 670 nt
Filed under: Manihot esculenta (cassava)
Lineage: Eukaryota; Viridiplantae; Streptophyta; Magnoliopsida; Malpighiales; Euphorbiaceae
Description: long non-coding RNA (MESC_LNC009285)
Source: RNAcentral
GGAUCCAAAGAAUUAUGGCAAAAAUUCUAAAUAUCAUUCUAAUUUUUCUCCAUAGUUUUGUUUUUCUAGAAGGGGUUAGUUUUCCACACGUCAAUUCUCCCUGCUCCAUCCAGGUAAGUGGACCACCUUCAUUCUUAUCAUCGGGCAAGUGGAAUGCUCUCGUUCUUGCCAUCCGAAGGUGGGUCUCUCUAAUUUUUUUUUUUAUUUUUAUUUUUUUGGGAUGUCUAUGAUUAUUUGAGUAGAAUUCUUUGAUCUAAUUUUUUAUUUUUAAUGUUUUGUGUUUUUUCUCAUAAUUACAUGUACGUUAGAAGGCUCAUAUAUCGUCCUCUAUUUCGACGAAGGGAGGCAUAGCGAAGACUCAUGAAAUAGAGCUCAAAAGAUGCAAUUGAAUGGUUGAAGAUUGCAUUCUUACUCGUUGGUGCCAGAUCUGGGGAGUUAUAAUUGAUCUAUCCGGCAACAUCCUUCUCUCAUUUGGAUCUGAUUGCUGUAUAUGUUUUAUAGCUGGGUUUGUUUUCUAUAGUGGUUCUGGUUGACUAGAUAUAGAGAUGACAAUGGAUCGGGUAUUUUCGGGUACCUGAUCCGACCGAACCCUAAUAAAAUGGAUUUGGAUAGUUAUAAUCGGGUUUGGGAUGUGUUUGAAUUUUAAAAAUAAUACCCGUUACGGAUUCGG